GCCGGUUUAUUGUUGCGACUGCCCGCACAAGUGAGUUCCUGCUCGACCUCUGAAAUGGGAGGCAGAGAAUCUGGUUCUUGUAGGGGUCCCCGUCGGGAAGACUUGCAGAGGUGGUAGCAAUGCUCUCGAGCACCCAGGUGGCGGCAGCGGAAGGUGACCACGCGGACCUGCGGUGCCGUGUGGCGGUGGAGGAGCUGAGCCCAGGAGGGCAGCCACGGAAACGCCAGACCUUACGCACCGCGGAGCUGAGCCUGGGUCGAAACGAGCGCCGUGAGUUGAUGCUGCGGCUGCAGGCUCCGGGGCCAGCCGGGCAACCGCGCUGCUUCCCCCUGCGCGCCGCGCGUCUCUUCACACGGUUCGCCGCAGCGGGGCGCAGUACGUUGAGGCUCCCAGCAGACGCCGUUCCCCGGGCGGGCGCCGUGCAGCUGCUGCUCUCCGACUGCCCCCCGGACCGCCUGCGGCGUUUCUUGCGCACACUGCGUCUGAAGCUGGCUGCGGACCCGGGUCCCGGGCCUGCCUCUGCCCUCGCGAAGCUGCUCAGCCCUCGACCCCGCGACUUCGUCACCAUCAGCCCAGUGCAGCCGGAGGAGCUGCGGCGUGUGGCAGCAACGCGGGUUCUAGACACCACGCUGGCCAAGCAGCCGAUGGAACCCGGGACUGGAGCCAAGCCCAGCAUGGAAGCCCCAAGGUGGCCUCUACCUGUGAAGAGGCUGAGCUUGCUCCCCACCAAGACACAGCUUUCUGAGGAACAGGCUGCAGUGCUGAGGGUUGUCCUAAAAGGCCAGAGCAUUUUCUUCACUGGGAGCGCAGGGACUGGGAAGUCAUAUCUGCUGAAGCGGAUCCUGGGCUCACUGCCCCCCACAGGCACAGUGGCCACUGCUAGCACUGGGGUGGCAGCCUGUCACAUUGGGGGCACUACCCUCCAUGCUUUUGCAGGCAUCGGCUCAGGCAAGGCUCCCCUGGCCCAGUGUGUGGCUCUGGCACAGCGGCCAGGCGUGCGGCAGGCCUGGCUGAACUGCCAGAGGCUGAUCAUUGACGAGAUCUCCAUGGUGGAGGCAGACUUGUUUGAUAAGCUGGAGGCUGUGGCCAGAGCUGUCCGCCAGCAGAACAAGCCAUUUGGAGGGAUCCAGCUCAUUAUCUGUGGGGACUUCCUGCAGCUGCCACCAGUGACCAAGGGCUCCCAACCCCCUCAGUUCUGCUUCCAGGCCAAGAGCUGGAAGAGGUGUGUGCCAGUGACCCUGGAGCUCACUGAAGUGUGGAGGCAGGCGGACAAGACCUUCAUCUCUCUGUUGCAGGCUGUGAGGCUAGGCAGGUGCUCUGAUGAGGUGACCCGCCAGCUCAGGGCCACAGCUGCCCACAAGGUAGGGCGAGACGGAAUUGUGGCCACAAGGCUCUGCACCCACCAGGAUGACGUGGCCCUCACCAAUGAGAAACGGCUGCAGGAGCUGCCAGGUGAGGUACAUAGCUUUGAGGCUAUGGAUAGCAACCCUGAGUUAGCCAGGACCCUGGAUGCCCAGUGUCCUGUUGGCCAGCUUCUUCAGCUAAAGCUGGGGGCCCAGGUGAUGCUGGUGAAGAAUUUAGCUGUGUCCAGGGGCCUGGUGAACGGAGCCCGAGGUGUAGUAGUCGGGUUCGAGACUGAAGGGAGAGGGCUGCCCCGAGUGCGCUUCCUGUGUGGAGUCACUGAGGUCAUCCAUGCUGACCGUUGGACAGUUCAGGCCACUGGGGGCCAACUCCUCAGUCGCCAGCAGCUGCCCCUCCAGCUGGCCUGGGCGAUAUCCAUCCACAAGAGCCAGGGCAUGUCUCUAGAUUGUGUGGAGAUCUCUCUGGGACGCGUGUUUGCCAGCGGUCAAGCCUAUGUGGCCCUUUCCCGGGCCCGCAGCCUACAGGGUCUGCGUGUACUAGACUUUGACCCCAUGGUGGUUCACUGUGACCCCCGUGUGCUGCACUACUAUGCCACCCUGCGGCGUGGCAGAGACCUCCAUCUGGAGUCUCCAAAUGAUGAAGAUGCAGCCUCGGACCAGGAGAACAUGGACCCAAACCUCUGAGCCUCUGCUGUAAAAAGAAGACAAAGAAUGAUCUCCACAACUUGCAGCUCCCUAGUGGACCAAGGCCCCAAGGAAUAACUGGUGGAGGAGACCAGUGUUCCUCUGUCCCUUCUUGGGAGUUCUCAGACUCCUUGCAGGACUAAAGGAAGAGUGCCUCCCACUCACUUACCAGCUGUGCCACAAUUUCUCCUGUUUGUCCUGGAUGGUAUCAAAUGGCAGAAGCAUACAUGAUCAUAUGGCAUGUGAAACAAGAAGCAAGAGAUGGGCCAGGUGAGGUGAGCACCUAUAAUCUCAGCGACUCAGGAGGCUGACCUAGCACCCGGAUUGUGUGGAGAUCUCUGGGCCGUGUGUUUGCCAGUAGUCAAGCCUGAGUCAUGUUUCCCAGGCCUACAGGAUGAUCGCAAAUUGGAGGCCAGCUUCAGCAACUUAGCAACACCCCGACUCAAAAGAUAAAAAAAAAAAAAAGGACUGAAGGUAUGGCUCAAUGGUAAAGCACUCCUGGGUUCAACCCCAGUACCAAAAAAUUAAAAAAGAAGAUGAAGCCAGAAAUGGGGAAGGGUCUGGCUUGCUCUUUUCAUAACAACUGCUCUGGACAGAACUAAUCCCCUCCUUCCACACCUGAUACUUCUGUAGGACAGCAUUAAUCUACUGUGUGAGGAUAGCGCCCCCAUGACUUAAUUACCUUCUGUUGGACCUCACAACUUAAAGAUUUAAAGGUUACAUCACCUCAGUACCACCACACUGGAGACCAAACUUCCAGUAUAUAAACCUGGAGAGAACCUGGAGGAGACUCACACCAGGUACAGGACCAAGAGAGAAAACAAACCUGAGUUAUCCCACAGCUGAGGUCAGCCUAGCACAACCCAGAGCAAACAACCUUCUGAGCCUAACCUGAGAACAUAUGCUGCAAACGUGUGCCCAUGUUUUAUAUAUUAUGUACAUGGGCACACAUGUUUAUAUGUAUAUAUAUGUGUAUAUACAUAUAUUAAUUUUAGUUGUAGAUGGAUAUUGUAGUUACAAUUUUAUUUAUUUUUAUUUUUAUGUGGUGCUGAAAAUUGAACCCAGUACCUCAUGUGGUAGGCAAGCACUCUACCACUGAGCCAAACCCCAGCCUCCUGUGUGCCCAUAUCUUAAGCUGCUUUUUUUGGGGGUGGGGGAAUAGUGUUCUGGGGCACUGAAAUGAUUGUUCCCAGGUUGUAUUUAUUUAGGACAAAUAAACCUGUGAUUGUGUAAGCUCUGCA
This is an RNA transcript of Ictidomys tridecemlineatus (thirteen-lined ground squirrel), 3286 nucleotides long. It is a transcript of the gene named PIF1 5'-to-3' DNA helicase, with no coding region annotated. The record is from RefSeq and is a predicted model, not a curated record. NCBI's taxonomy places the organism in Eukaryota, Metazoa, Chordata, Mammalia, Rodentia, Sciuridae.